GAUUGAAUGGUUCCAGUUUUCGGUCGUGCUACAUGGUGUGGGCUGGCCUUUUUCCACCCCGUCUCUCCUUCGUCUACCUGUUCUCCAUCACCCUCCGCUCCCUCUUCCUCCUUCCACAUCCCGAUCUAAUCCCAUCGCCCCAACGCUCUCCCCUUCCCCUCCAUGGUGAGCCGCCUCUCUUCCCAGCUAGUUGCGCCGCCCAAACCCUCUCCGACCUCCAUGGCGGUGCUCCCUCCGUCUUAUGCUGCACAAAUACCAGCGAGAUCUGGGUCGACAGGACACAGGUGAUAUCGUCAUCAACCGCCGCCCCUGGUGCCUCGUGCGUGCUGAGGGGCAUCUACUUCGGAUCUGGCCGCGGAGCGGGAACGGUCCAUCGGAUUGGGCGGUGAUUGCAAGCUCUGCCUCUAUUCUUCACAGUAGGUUCUGAAUUUGAAUCGGAAUAAACCUGGCUGAAGUUGCAAUCUGCACUAUGGAGCCCUCUCCGCAAGGAACUUUUAUCGACGCGGCUCUGAAACUAGUACUUGACAUGGUAGAAGCAUGGUUUAUUCGGCCUAGACUAAUACAGUACAUAUACUGUAAUUUUCAGGAUCAUUACGGGCUGUGGCGAGCCGUCUGCUCUUCCUACAGAGUUAGUGUCCAUUUGCACUGUACUAUAUAAUUCGUUAGUGAUCAUGAUCACCUUACUUGGUGUUCUCGAUCGAGCCGCGUAGAUGGUGACUACGUUGUUGUUGCUGGUGGUUUGAGAGAAACUGAAUUGAAAAGAUUCCUGGACGUAUAAUCUGUCAGGUAUCAUCUGUAAUUUGGAUUCAAGUUUCAGAUGUCUUAGAUAUAUUGUAUCUUCAUCAUUUUCUCUAGCUUGAUACUGUGCCAAGCCACGAUCCUCUCUCCUCUGCUGUGGUGUAAGUGGUGCGGGGAGACCCGCGCGCGUUCGAGGGAGAGCUAGCCCGUAAGGUGCCUUUUGGCCUACCUCUUGUGGUCCUCACCUGGUUCAAGAGCUGGGAUUUGAAAAGCUAGAGAUGCACUUUUUCCUGGGAUUCUGACAUGGAUUUUAUUGCAAGCAAUGGCCCCUGGAGAUUCCGUCAUGCAUUGUUUAACAAGCUCAGUCAUUGUGUCAAUUAAAACUGAAAAGGACGUGUCAAAACUUAUCAAAAGGAAACAAUUUGUUGUCUCUUGGCUUUUUGGUUGCAAAUGCACUAUUUUUUUUGAGAGAACAAAUUCACUAUUAUUGAGAUAGAGAAUGCACGUCAACUACACAACAAAUUAUCAUGGUGUUCAAUUUUCCAAUCUUCCACUUAAUUUUGUUUCUAUCAUUUAGUUUGCUUUCUCUUUUCCAAUCUUUCACGUAAUAUUGUUGUCCAACAGAUGGGCCGUGAGUUUGGAAUUAGGCGGCCACGGCGCGUAGUCUGCCACCCGCUGCGUCGGCAUCCCAUUACCUGCAGGACCAUGGCCCCAUGGCGUCGGCGUCAUUGAUCACAGCAAUGCCGACGCCACCCGGGACGUGUACUGGACUGAGGCUUUGUGAUACGAGUAGAUCAUCCAAGAGGGUUAACAUUUGCACAUUAGUGAUCAUCCAAGGAGUACUACUAUUAUGUUUUAGGUUGUUGUUGCUGCUUUAAUCAACUAUGAACUGCCACUUUGAGUUGUGAUAUUUCUGGCCUGAUCUCCAUCCAGGACCAGGAAUGUACAUUUGAAUUUCUGAUUUGAGAUGGAUCACGGAAUAAGAGUUUCCUGUCAAA
Molecule: long non-coding RNA, 1736 nt
Organism: Triticum aestivum (bread wheat)
Lineage: Eukaryota; Viridiplantae; Streptophyta; Magnoliopsida; Poales; Poaceae
Exons: 2
Source: RefSeq, a predicted model, not a curated record